GGAUUAGAUCUUAUUUAUUUUCAAACGUUUGAUCGUGUGCUUAUCCUUUUUAGCGCUACACGCUAUGUUACUAUUGUAGAGUGCUCAGAAGAGAAUAUAAAAACAAGAAUUCAGAAUAGUCACAUAUGCAACACAAGAAAAAGGUGAGAAAGAAGAUACAUGCCCUCAAAUUUAUCAUAAACAAACAGCAAAGAACUUCAUGUCACAAAUUGAGAAUACUGUUAUGAUCAAGACAAAGUAGAAUAAGCCUAUAUUAUGGUCUUCUUUACCUGACCACUUGCUUAACUAGUUUCUAGUGGCAGUAGUAAAGUUUUGAAAUUCAAUGAUUGGAA
RNAcentral lists this unclassified non-coding RNA (332 nucleotides) under Hevea brasiliensis (rubber tree). Lineage: Eukaryota; Viridiplantae; Streptophyta; Magnoliopsida; Malpighiales; Euphorbiaceae. The record is from RNAcentral.